UAUUAAAAUGUCAGCAACAGAGUUGAGAAGUCACAGCAGGCGACGUGCUAGCUGACAGUAAAUUCCAAAUUGUUUUUAUCUCUAUUAUUCUGUUUUUGUCUCACUUUUUAUACCCUGAACCCAUUUUUUUUUUUUUUUUUUUUUUUUUUUUUUUUUGGGAAUAAAAUUGCGUGGAAGAGUCAGUGUGCUGUGACUGCGUUGAUAGCCUCCACAAAGUGAAUACAAUAGAUUAAUAAUUUGUGUUUCGUCACACAGAGAGAAUGUGCGAUAUGAGUUCAUGUUGCUUGUUGCCGACUCCUGCAGCUAAAUAUUUAAAUGUUUUAGCCCUUUACUGGUUAACAAGCUGAAAUAGUUGUCAGGCUUGCAUGAUUUCUGACCAGAGAUUCAUUUUUGAUGGCAAAAAUAUUUUAGGCUGCCUAGCCUGUGGCACAGUUAACAGAGGAUGGCCAAACGAGGCUACUGAGCAGCUGCCAGAAGAAGAAGAAGCAGUAUCAGGAGAGGAGGAGGAAGCAGGAGGAGGAGUGCGGUGUGCAACAAGCGGCAAAUACCGAGACAACAACAAUGUUUGGCCAGCGCGAGAGCUGGGGUUAUAAAUAAGCGCAAAAACAACAGCAACAACUACAACUAAAACAUGGCAUUUUCAAGGACAUUUCAUACAAGCCAAACUCGAGCGGGUCCUUGGGCCAGCUGCCCACUGCCUCCUUGCCAUUUCUUAUUUAUUU
Drosophila mojavensis is the source of this 722-nucleotide long non-coding RNA. RefSeq lists it as uncharacterized. The transcript has 4 exons. Lineage: Eukaryota; Metazoa; Arthropoda; Insecta; Diptera; Drosophilidae. The record is from RefSeq and is a predicted model, not a curated record.